This 429-nucleotide ribosomal RNA is filed under the name Acidobacteriota bacterium. RNAcentral describes it as "Acidobacteria bacterium partial 16S ribosomal RNA". It matches the Rfam family "Bacterial small subunit ribosomal RNA", at positions 355 to 776 of the family's 1533-position model. Lineage: Bacteria; Pseudomonadati; Acidobacteriota. The record is from RNAcentral.
UGGGGAAUUUUGGACAAUGGGGGAAACCCUGAUCCAGCCAUCCCGCAUGUGCGAUGAAGGCCUUCGGGUUGUAAAGCACUUUUGGCAGGAAAGAAACGUCAUGGGUUAAUACCCCGUGAAACUGACGGUACCUGCAGAAUAAGCACCGGCUAACUACGUGCCAGCAGCCGCGGUAAUACGUAGGGUGCAAGCGUUAAUCGGAAUUACUGGGCGUAAAGCGUGCGCAGGCGGUUCGGAAAGAAAGAUGUGAAAUCCCAGAGCUCAACUUUGGAACUGCAUUUUUAACUACCGGGCUAGAGUGUGUCAGAGGGAGGUGGAAUUCCGCGUGUAGCAGUGAAAUGCGUAGAUAUGCGGAGGAACACCGAUGGCGAAGGCAGCCUCCUGGGAUAACACUGACGCUCAUGCACGAAAGCGUGGGGAGCAAACAGG